Molecule: transfer RNA, 72 nt
Filed under: Nocardioides sp. Root614
Lineage: Bacteria; Bacillati; Actinomycetota; Actinomycetes; Propionibacteriales; Nocardioidaceae
Also listed under: 5 other names
Rfam family: tRNA
About the family: Transfer RNA (tRNA) molecules are approximately 80 nucleotides in length. Their secondary structure includes four short double-helical elements and three loops (D, anti-codon, and T loops). Further hydrogen bonds mediate the characteristic L-shaped molecular structure. tRNAs have two regions of fundamental functional importance: the anti-codon, which is responsible for specific mRNA codon recognition, and the 3' end, to which the tRNAs corresponding amino acid is attached (by aminoacyl-tRNA synthetases). tRNAs cope with the degeneracy of the genetic code in two manners: having more than one tRNA (with a specific anti-codon) for a particular amino acid; and 'wobble' base-pairing, i.e. permitting non-standard base-pairing at the 3rd anti-codon position.
Source: Rfam by way of RNAcentral
GGGCGUAUAGCUCAGCGGUAGAGCGUCCGCCUUACACGCGGAUGGUCGGGGGUUCGAUCCCCUCUGCGCCCA